Molecule: non-coding RNA, 112 nt
Organism: Acanthosepion pharaonis
Lineage: Eukaryota; Metazoa; Mollusca; Cephalopoda; Sepiida; Sepiidae
Source: the annotation of a GenBank genome assembly
AUGACCAUAUUCUGUUGAAACACCGGUUCCCGUACGAUCACCAAAGUUAAGCAACGUCGAACCUGGUCAGUAUCUAGAUAAGUGACCGUUUGUGAAUACCAGGUGUUGUAAG